RNAcentral lists this long non-coding RNA (9930 nucleotides) under Triticum aestivum (bread wheat). RNAcentral's name for it is "long non-coding RNA (TAES_LNC020465)". Lineage: Eukaryota; Viridiplantae; Streptophyta; Magnoliopsida; Poales; Poaceae. The record is from RNAcentral.
UGGUCAGUUUCACGCGUCGUCACCUUCGGUUCAAUUAAGCUCAGCUUUACAAUUAACCUGCCAGUUUCACAGGUUGUCACCUUCGUUUCAAUUAAGCUCUUUGACAAGUCAGCUUUACAUCAGGUAUUUUUGUUAACUGUUACCAUAUACGACAUCCUUCAACAUGUCUAUGAACAUUGGUACCUGUAAUGAAAAAAAUUACAUUUAUCAUCAGCGAUUUGGAUUAUCCAAACAAGUAGUAUAUCAAAGUUUACUUUGAGCAAGAAAUUUACAACAUUUUAUAUGCGACACAUUGAAUCAUAUUUAAACACCAUUAUUGACAAGGAAAAAAUAGAUGCAAUGAUUCGACUAGAAUUUAAGUGUUCUGGUGGCACUAACCUCAUCUACUUUCAGUCUGGCUUGACUUAGGCUCGACAUUGCCGUGCCGCAAGCUUCCACUCUCGCCUCUGCUGUCUUCGCUGGAACUCGUCUGCCCGUGCUCCUCCUGAGGUAUUUACUGUAUUUUGAAAAGAUCAAUACAAAUGUGUAAGCAAUGUGUGAGUACAUAUAAGAGGUAGUGCGUGUGUGCAUACAAAGAGAUAUUACAAUUUAAGUUGUUCAAAUUAUUUAAAACAACAAGUGACGAGUCGAUAUGCUGAUAUACAAAGACUCAUAGACAUGUUAAUCUAUGUACCAUUUAGAUGUGGCUCGGAACAUACACUAAAAAUUGAUAAGUCAGUAAAAGAAAAAAAAAUCAUGAUGCAUAUCAUCGUUGAUCAGCAGUAAUUUUAGCUUAUUUAACAAUCAACGCAAACAAGGGAAUAAUGUACGCUUCUGGAACAAAUCAAUGAGAAGUCAGCAUUUUCGCGUAUCUAAUUUGUUAUGCACACCAUAAGCAAGUUGAUUUGGAGAUCAAUCAUUUGAGCAAAAAGAUAGAAUCAAAAGUUCCCCUGGGAAGCACCACAUGUAUGAGCUUAGCAUAUAGAAGGCCAAUAGAUUUUAAUUUUGAAAAUAGGCAAAAACAAUAAUAAUAAUAAUAGGACUAAUAAAAAAUAGCAAUGUGUGUAUCGAUUAUAUACAACAGCAGUUCCUGUUACAUAUCGAGUUGCAUGGGUUUGCAUAGUGUAUCAAUGGCUGCACCAGGGCCAUUUAGUUGAAAAACAGUUGAAAAAUAGAGAAAUACUCAUAGGUCUUAGCAUUAUAUAAACCCUACCAGCUAGAAUGACUUAGAUGUAUCCUCUGUUUUCAUUUCACUUGGUAAGAUAAGUGUUGUUUGAAGAGUAAAUACUAUAUCAGCACAAAUGUCUAUUCCCCACAAGAAACUUAUAUCCUCUGUUUUCAUUUCACUUGGUAAGACGAGUGUUGUUUGAAGAGUAAAUACUGUAUCAGCAAAUGUCCAUGCUAACCAAGUUCCCAUCUUUAAUAAAUAAUAUUUGUUUACACUUUCCAAAACUCUCAUGCAGGCAGGCAGGCAUUUUUGACAAUAUCAAAGAAUGGAUGCUAAGGAGCAACGAAGGAAGAGAGAAAGAGAGCGCUAUGCAGAGAUGACCGACGAAAAAAAACAGGAAAAACUCAAAAAACGCCGCGAAGCCUAUCAACAUCAGAAAGAAAAAAAAAAGCAGAGCUCUAUGCACAGAUGACCGAUGAAGCACAGAUGAACGAUGAAGCACAGAUGGCCGAUGAAAAAAAGCAGCAAAAACUCGAAAAACGCCAUGAAGCCUAUCAACAAAAGAAAGAAAAAAGAGCAGAGCUCAAUGUACAGAUGACCGAUGGAGAAAAGCAGGAAAAACUCAAAAGACGCCGUGAAACCUAUCAACAAAAGAAAGAGAAGAUAUGUGCACAGCAUAGGCAGAUAUAUGCAAAUAUGCAGUCAGAACAAAAGAAAGCUAGAAUAGAACAUAUAAAUGAAUUGAAGCGCAGCACAGCAAACAAAGACUCAAUUGCGAUGCAAAACCCUGCAUAUAGCUCAACUGAACAAGAAGUUAGUAUUUCUACCCCUUCUGUAAAUCACAGAAAGCAUGUCACGCGAGGAGAAAGACAAACAUUGCUGCACCGCCGUAACAAACAAUUCACGACAAGACGGAGGAAAAAUGUUACAGUAUCAUCAAAAGAAGAUGCAUCCAUGACGGAAAUCGGCAACAAUGAUACAGAGCCUCUACAUCAACCACAAGUAAUGAUUUACGGUAAAAAUCUAAAUUUGAUACAAUACUAGCAUUCAAAGUAAAUAUACAUGUGUUUGUACAACUAACCAUAUUUUGUGGACAGACAUCCCCUCAUCAAUGUUUCCAAGCAUGAAAGAAGCAGAUACCCCAACAAAGACAUUAUACAAUGGCGAUCACAAUAAGGUGGCUUCAUGGCCAGACAUCCCCUCUUCAAUGUCUCCUACAAUCAAAGACGUAGAUGCACAAAUAGAAUCAUUCUACAAUGAUGUUCGCGGUAUGAUAAUCAAUUGGAUAUACUUUUAUACAAUACAAAAACUAUAUGCAUAUCUAUAUAAAUAAAAAAUUCUACACAACAAAUAAUAAAGUCAUGUGUGAGAAAGACACAGCCAUCAAAGAAGCAGACGCACCAACACAAUCAAUCCACAAUGAGGAUCAUGGUAAGGUUAUCAAUUUCAUAUAUAUUGUUAUGCAGUACAGAGAAAUAUAAUAUAUAUAUAUAAGAUUACAACACAGGUAAUGACGAAAUCAUAUUUGAAGAAGAUACAAACGAGGACGGACACAUGUUCUCUGGUCAAGGUAUGCCCAAUACAAUUUAAAUAGAUUCGAAUCAUUAUAUUUCUCCUUCACUAAAAAUUUUAUGCUACAAACCAUACUAGAAUGGGGCAGAGAAGUGGAAAUUGAAAUCAAAGAAGACGAAGAAAUUCACAAGUCUGAUCCAUAUGAUUUUGUCUACAGUAACAUACCAAAAAACACACAUGUGCUCAAACCAGAAGAGAAUUGCAGAUUAUGUCAUGCAAAAAAAUUCAAGUAUGAAACUAAGGGGUUAUGCUGCAGAAAAGGACAGAUAAGACUGGCCAAUCCAGAUACAACACCUGAACUCAUGAGACUUUGGACAAGCAACGACUCUGAUGCAAGACAUUUUCGGCAAAAUAUAAGAUUUUUCAAUGGACACUUCUCAUUUACUACUCUAUAUUGUCACCUUGACAGAGACACAACUGACAUGCGAACAGCUGGUAUUUACACCUUUCGAGCUCAUGGUCAGAUCUAUCACAACAUACAUUCAUUUGGUAAUAGUCACUCAGAUCCAAAGCAUUUGGUGCUAUACUUCUACGACGAUGAUCCAAGCUUAGAGCAUCGAUAUCGUCGUUGCCGCGAGGAAAUGUAUGAGCAAGACAAGCAUGUGAUUGGAAUAAUAACCACAUCCUACACGGUAACCCGUACUCUCAACAGUUUAGGAGUUUGGGACAAGCCCAAAACCUUGAGGACUACAGAGUCAUCUUGAACCUUGACCAAAGAUUGGACCAGAGAACAUACAAUGCACCAAUCAAUUCAGAGGUAGCUGCAGUGUGGAUUGAAGGAAAUGAAAGAAGAGAUACUUAUGACAGGAGUGUAAUACUACAUGGGAACAACAACGAAAAAGAGCACAUUUGAUCAUAUUACGGGUGCUAUGAUCCGUUGUCGUAUCCUCUAUUCUUUCCAAGAGCUGAACUGGGUUGGCAUAGGAAAAUCCCAAAGAAGAAUACACAAGAGGAAGACAUUGGUGCUGAUAAUAUCAAUAAUGACGAGGACCCAGGUAAAAAAUUCAUAUACUAUUAUAUUCAAAAUUCAAUUUUCAUAUAUGGUACGGUACAAACUUAUGCAACUAACUUUUUAUGUUGCAAUUUUUGCAUAGAUUCGGUCAACGGCUUGUGGGUAACCAUGAAAGAAUACUACUGCUAUAAAUUCCAUACAUGACCAAGCAUAUUCAACCCAAUAUUGCAUGGCGGACGGCUUUUGAUGAAGACCGAACCUCGUGGUGAGAUCCGAUCUGUUGUUGCGGCCUGAUCUUUCACGACACUCCUUGUUACCUUCACUAAAUUGAAAUAUUUUAGGCUCAUGUAUAUCUGUGAUUUGAUGCGGUACAACAUUAUGUGUGGUCGUAUCAUCCUCUCUUCCUUGCAUCAAAACCGUCCUCGGAUUUGGGUUGACCUCUUGAGCAAUAUUUUCUUCACUCGAUUGAAUAACAACCACAGAAAUUUCAGCAACUUGGGCCUUCUUCUUUUCUUCUUCUUCCUGCUCUUUUAUCCUCUCAAGAUGUUCUUUCCUCCAAGAAAUAAAACGCUCCUCACCCAUUGGCACGAGGCUGCACUUCUUACCCCUCUUGACGGUAUAUCUGUGUGUUUUGCAAUCGUACGCGACAUCAUGCUCUCUGUACCACGGCUCUCCCACUAACAAGUGACAUGAAAUCAUCGGUGCCAGAAUCACGUCGCACAAAACCUCGCAAAAAUAAUUUUCCAACAAAAACGGUACCUUUGUUUGUUGCGUGACAGUGAGCUCUUCAUGACCCCAACGGAAACAGUAUGGUUGUGGACAUGGUGUCAUUGGUAGAUUCAGUUUCUCCACCAUCUCGAUGCUUGCGGCGUUGAUCAAAUUCAUGUGAUCGACCAUCAUAGCACAUGAUCUCUCUCUCACCACCACACGGGUGUGAAAUAGCCCGGCCCAACGGCCUUCCUCCUCCAACUGAAAUCCAUAGCUUAACUUACUGAAUGAUAAUGCGCUCAUCAUCUUCUCCAUAGUGUCGUGAACAACCUUGCUCUGAAUACCACCUGAUGAAGACCGAACCUCGUGGUGAGAUCCGAUCUGUUGUUGCGGCCUGAUCUUUCACGACACUCCUUGUUACCUUCACUAAAUUGAAAUAUUUUAGGCUCAUGUAUAUCUGUGAUUUGAUGCGGUACAACAUUAUGUGUGGUCGUAUCAGCUUUUCCAGCAGUUUGUUGUAGAUACAUACAUCAAGAUUGAAAGCUCCAGACUGGAUUACAUGUGGCAUCAUCAAAAGAAAAUAAGGGCAGAUCCAUACCAAGGCCUUCUAGACAGCAUUCAAGCCAAAGAACAGAAUGGAGAUGCAGUCAGAACACGGAGAGUACUUGCCUCAUCAUUUAUUGGAGGGCCACGAGAUAAGCUUCGUCGGUAUCCGGAUGCGAUGGCUUUAGUUAGAAAAUAUGGAAAGCCAGACGUAUUCCUAACAAUGACCUGCAAUCCCAACCGGGAAGAGAUCACACGUGAACUAGAGUUUGGACAAACACCACAAGAUCGCCCAGACAUUGUCGUUCGUGUUUUCAGGGCGAAGCUAGAAGAAAUGAAGAAGCAACUAUUUAAGAAGGCCAUUCUUGGAAAGGUUACGGCAUAUACAUAUGUCGUAGAGUUCCAAAAGAGGGGAUUACCCCAUGCUCACUUUUUGCUCAUCAUGACCGGAAAAUACAAGUACACAUGUCCAGAACAGUAUGACAGAAUCAUCUCCGCUGAGCUCCCUAACAAGCACAAGUACCCAGAGAUAUAUAAAAUGGUAAUCAAACAUAUGAUGCAUGGUCCUUGCGGUGCAUUGAAUAAAUUUUGCCCGUGCACAAAGAAUCGUCCAUCAUGCAAGAACAAUUAUCCAAGGCCAUUUAACAAAACUACGAUUCAAGGCAAGGACUCAUACCCAGUAUAUAGGAGACGCAAUGACGGCCGGACCGAAACGGUAAGAAAUUGCAAACUAGAUAACAGAUGGGUGGUUCCUUACAACCCCUAUCUGUUAAGGAUGUUCAACUACCACAUAAAUGUUGAUAUAUGCUCAAGCAUUAAAGCUGUUAAGUACCUCUUCAAGUACAUCUACAAGGGACAUGAUCGAGCAUCUGUAUCUGUAACCGACAAAGUAGAUGAAGUCGAAAUCAACGAGAUUAAAACAGUACAGAGACGCACGGUGGGUGACUCCUCCGGAAGCAAUGUGGAGAAUAUAUGGCUUUGAACUAAGCAAAAUGCACCCACCAGUCUUGCAACUGCAGCUACAUCUCCCAAAUAUGCACAUGGUUUCAUGUCAUGGCACAGAAACAAUAAAGAAUGUUCUCGACCGUGAUGGCACGAAAAGAUCAAUGUUGACUGCGUACUUUGAAGCAAACAAUUUACAUGAGAAAGCACGAGGCAUACUAUACAGAGAUUUUCCGGAAUAUUAUACUUGGCAAAGACAAGAGAAGUUUUGGCAAGAGAGGAAGCAAGCCGCUGUGUUCCAGGUUGGCAGGAUCGUCUCAGCACACCCGGCUGAAGGAGAACGAUACUAUCUACGAGUCCUCCUCAACCACGUGACAGGCGCCACCAGCUACGAAGACCUACGAACAGUCAAUGGACAAGUAAUGCCAACCUUCCAUGAAGUUGCAGAAAAACAGGGGCUCAUUGAGGCAGACAACACAUUAGACGAAUGCAUGGCAGAAGCAAAGUUGUUUCGAAUGCCAUCAUCUCUACGAAGGCUAUUCGCGACAAUCCUGGUUUUUUGCGAGCCCAGCGACGUCCGUGGUCUAUGGAACAAACACCUCGAGGCAAUGUCAGAGGACUACAGCAGAAACUGCAAAUGCAAGCACACGGUCGAACAAAUGGUGCUGAGAAAUCUUAGGGACAUGUUGCACUCAAUGGGAGAAGAUAUAGAAUCUUUUCCUCUUCCAGAGAUCGACACACAGCAUGAGAUGACAAACGGCGUGCCUAGGGAAAUCAUUGAGGAGACCUCCACACGAGGUGGACCCUAAGGACAUAUUGUUGCAUAAAAACCUAAAUACCGAGCAAAGGAUGGCCUAUGACGAAAUCCUAGCCACAGUUGACUGCCAAAGAGGUAUAUUCUUUGUCAAUGGGCCGGGAGGCACAGGAAAAACUUUUCUUUACAGGGCGCUCUUGGCCACAGUACGCGGACAAGGCAAGAUUGCAGUGGCGACAGCCACUUCCGGUGUUGCUGCUUCCAUAAUGCCUGGAGGGAGGACCGCACACUCAAGGUUCAAAAUUCCACUAAAAAUAGAUGAUGGUGCUAUUUGUAGCUUCACAAAACAAAGUGGGACAGCCAAGCUACUCCAAGCAGCAUCACUAAUAAUCUGGGAUGAAGCAUCUAUGACUAAGAGGCAAACAGUGGAGGCGCUAGACAAAAGCAUGAGGGACAUAAUGGACAGACCAGAUCUUCCUUUUGGUGGAAAAAGGUCGUAUUUGGGGGAGAUUUUAGACAAGUGCUCCCUGUUGUCCGAAAGGGGACAAGGGCCCAGAUAGUAGAUGCAUCGCUACGCACGUCAGAGCUCUGGAAUUGCAUGCGUCAGUGGAAGCUUGUGCGCAACAUGAGGGCUCAAAACGACCCUUGGUUCGCAGAAUACCUACUACGCAUUGGAAAUGGAACUGAGAAGACAAAUGAUGAUGGUGAAAUACUUCUACCUAAAAGUAUAUGUGUGGCAAAUAAGACGGAUGAUAAUGGCUUGGAUAGACUCAUUGACAGUAUCUACCAAACAGGCAAUGCUUCCCUAAUAAAGGAUCCAAAGUACAUCACAUCAAGAGCAAUUUUAUCCACAAGGAACGACUGCGUGGACAAAAUCAACUUAAAAAUGAUUGAUCGCUUCCAGGGGGAGGAGAUGGUGUACCACAGCUUUGAUUCCGUAGAAGACGACCCACAUAACUACUAUCCACCAGAAUACUUAAACACCCUAACCCCAAAUGGACUGCCUCCACAUAUGUUGAAGCUCAAAAUAAAUUGCCCAAUCAUACUACUCAGGAACAUCGACCCUACUAAUGGACUCUGCAACGGUACGAGGUUGGUCGUGCGUGGAUUUCAAAAAAUGCAAUUGACGCAGAGAUUGUGGUGGGACAGCACUCUGGAAUGCGAGUUUUCCUGCCUCGAUACAAUUAUGUCCCUCUGACGAUGACAUGUUCCCGUUCAGUUUCAAGAGGAAACAGUUCCCAAUCAGGCUCAGUUUUGCAAUGACAAUAAACAAAUCACAAGGACAGACAAUACCAAAUGUCGGCAUCUACCUGCCUGAACCGGUUUCUUCACAUGGUCAGUUAUAUGUCGCGCUUUCUAGAGCAACUGCGACAUCAAACAUAAAGGUUCUAACAGGUACACAUGGUGAGAACAAGCAGAAGAAUAAAAAUACCACUACAUGCGACACAUACACAAAGGGGGAGAAGAAUAGGAAGAGCACUACAAGCAAGACAUACGAAAAAUAUUGUAUACACGGAAGUAUUAACCAAAUAGGUAAUGCAACCUUUUAAUUUCUUGUUCAAAAUUUCAGUUUCUACUUGGUAGGAUCAUCAUUUAAGAAAAACUUAAAAGUAUAUUUAUAUUUCACAUUGCAUUGCUUCUUUUCUAACCUUAAAUAUAUUACUUGGAUUCUACAGAAACAUUAAAGCCAAGUGACAACUUCACAGUUGGAGUUCAAAACUUGAUCGUCUUGGAGGAGACUAACUCAUUUGUGUAUAUACAAAUCAUUUAUGGUAUAUUUCUCAUGUAUAAUAUCCUGAGCGAACAAAUUAUGUGUCCACUAACUCAUUCAUGGUUUUUCUAUAGAAAUAAUUCUAAGUAUAUAUACAAAUUUAGCACCAAAAUGUGUAACUAAGGGCAGAAAGAGACUUACAAGCCAAAAUAAGAACAUAUUUGUCACCUUGGAAAUGCUGCUGUUGCCCAGAUUUUUCUAAACAUCACAUUCUCUACAUACCCGAAACCUGAAAUAUAAACGACCAAUUAUGGCUGUACAAGCUGUACCAAAAUUUCUACUAUGCAAUCCUCAAAGAAUUUCGACUGCAAUUAUAUGUUUCUGCGUGAGAUUAACUGCUCCCAAGUGAAGCUUACUCCAAGAUUAGACAGUAGAAAAACAAAAACAGGAUCACCCAAAUUCUAUUUUUUCUCUCCGAUUCUAAAAUGACUCUAAUGCUAACUUCAUUAUGCUGUCCUUUUUGACCAAAAUAUUGAGGAUCCCCGCCAAAUCAUUAUGCUGUCCUUUUCUCAUGGAUCGGUGGCAAAAUCUAUUAGAGAUGUUCUCCCAUCCUUUUUAGCCAAAUCCAACAUCACUAAAAAAGAGUCAAAUUCAAUCUAAAUAUACUUUCGAGUGUGUGCUCUCUCAUUACAGGAUGCAAUGUACUCUCAAAAUUUGUGCCCGACAUACUUAUCAGAAUGCAAGUAUCUAUCUCAACAUUUCUUUUGCUCAAAAAUUCACAAGAUCAUCCGAACAGUAAAUGUGUUACUCACACGCAUGCAUGCACGCACACGCACACACACACACACACACACACACACAAAUGUCACUGACAUGAGACACCAAGAUAAAACUUGAUCUCCAGAUGCAGAAACUCUACCAUGAAGCAAUGUCAUUCUGUCAUAGAAUCCCUUUCUUGCAAGUCAUGCCCCAAGUUGCCAUUUCUUAUAGUAGCCUAUUAAGAGCAAGGAUCCUAAAUUAAUAUCAAUAAAAGUACCACUGUGUGUUCACCAUCCAACAAUGAUAUACUGUGUGGUAAACUCGAGUUCACAGUUGUCAAUACCUGAAUCCAUCAAGUAACUGGAGUAGUCGAGCACGUAAGCGAGCUGCGAGCGCCUUCCCGGAUUGAAUGUGGGAGCCAAGCACGAGGCCGACUAUCACAGGGGCACGAGACGCACAGAACCUCGGGCCGCUCCGAGAUGCCUGCUCCCGCAUCGUGUCCAGCACGCUCCUCUAGCUCGCAUCUGGAUCUGCACUGGGACAUGUGUACGGCGACGGCAGAGUCGAUCUAGGGAAGACCGACGGUGUUAGCGGCAAGGCGAGGUUAUGGUGGGGAGAGGAGGCGGCGGCGCAAGGCCGUGGGGAGGGGGAGAGGAUGGGCUGGGCGACGAUGUGGCGGGAGAGGAUGCGGCGUGCGACUGCGUGCCGGGGAGAGGAGGCAGUGGGGAGAGCAGUUGAGGCCUCGCGCCGGCGGCGGGGACGAAAGGAAAGGGCGGCCUGAUGAGGUACUACAUCCACAAGGAAUGGAAGUGAGGGGCGGCCACCAUGGAAUGGGGGAGCGG